UGGGGAAUUUUGGACAAUGGGCGAAAGCCUGAUCCAGCAAUGCCGCGUGUGUGAAGAAGGCCUUCGGGUUGUAAAGCACUUUUGUCCGGAAAGAAAUCCUUGGCUCUAAUACAGUCGGGGGAUGACGGUACCGGAAGAAUAAGCACCGGCUAACUACGUGCCAGCAGCCGCGGUAAUACGUAGGGUGCAAGCGUUAAUCGGAAUUACUGGGCGUAAAGCGUGCGCAGGCGGUUUGCUAAGACCGAUGUGAAAUCCCCGGGCUCAACCUGGGAACUGCAUUGGUGACUGGCAGGCUAGAGUAUGGCAGAGGGGGGUAGAAUUCCACGUGUAGCAGUGAAAUGCGUAGAGAUGUGGAGGAAUACCGAUGGCGAAGGCAGCCCCCUGGGCCAAUACUGACGCUCAUGCACGAAAGCGUGGGGGAGCAAACAGGAUUAGAUACCCUGGGUAGUCCACGCCCUAAACGAUGUCAACUAGUUGUUGGGGAUUCAUUUCCUUAGUAACGUAGCUAACGCGUGAAGUUGACCGCCUGGGGAGUACGGUCGCAAGAUUAAAACUCAAAUGAAUUGACGGGGUCAUAGCUGUUUCCU
RNAcentral lists this ribosomal RNA (587 nucleotides) under uncultured bacterium. RNAcentral's name for it is "partial 16S ribosomal RNA". It matches the Rfam family "Bacterial small subunit ribosomal RNA", at positions 355 to 1375 of the family's 1533-position model. The record is from RNAcentral.